RNAcentral lists this ribosomal RNA (303 nucleotides) under uncultured prokaryote. Its description in RNAcentral is "bacterial SSU rRNA". It matches the Rfam family "Bacterial small subunit ribosomal RNA", at positions 8 to 307 of the family's 1533-position model. The record is from RNAcentral.
AGAGUUUGAUCCUGGCUCAGAUUGAACGCUGGCGGCAUGCCUAACACAUGCAAGUCGAGCGGCAGCGCGGGGGCGACCCUGGCGGCGAGCGGCGGACGGGUGAGUAAGGCAUCGGAAUCUGCCCUGAUGUGGGGGAUAACGUAGGGAAACUUACGCUAAUACCGCAUACGACCGAGAGGUGAAAGCGGGGGACCGAAAGGCCUCGCGCAGCAGGAUGAGCCGAUGUCCGAUUAGCUAGUUGGUGGGGUAACGGACCGUACCCAACGGCGGACGAUCGGUAGCUGGUCUGAGAGGAGUGAUCAG